UACGUAGGUCCCGAGCGUUAUCCGGAGUAACUGGGCGUAAAGUGUUCGUAGCCUGAUAUAUAAGUCUGUUUUCAAAUACCUCGACUCAAUUGAGGAAAGGGAAUGGAUACUGUAUAUCUGGAGGUCAUUGGGGGUUAAUGGAAUUUCCGGUGGAGCGGUGAAAUGCGUUGAUAUCGGAAGGAAUGCCAAAAGCGAAAGCAGUUAACUACAGUGAACCUGACGGUGAGGAACGAAAGCUUGGGGAGCAAACGGG
This 253-nucleotide ribosomal RNA is filed under the name uncultured bacterium. Its description in RNAcentral is "partial 16S ribosomal RNA". It matches the Rfam family "Bacterial small subunit ribosomal RNA", at positions 524 to 776 of the family's 1533-position model. The record is from RNAcentral.